GAAAGCCCUGUAAACGAAACGGCGGACUCUCCGUCCAGGAUCCUGAGUACGGCGGAACACGUGAAAUUCCGUCGGAAUCCGGGAGGACCAUCUCCCAAGGCUAAAUACUCCCUAGUGACCGAUAGUGAACCAGUACCGUGAGGGAAAGGUGAAAAGCACCCCGGAAGGGGAGUGAAACAGUUCCUGAAACCGUGUGCCUACAAUUAGUCAAAGCCCGUUAACGGGUAAUGGCGUGCCUUUUGUAGAAUGAACCGGCGAGUUACGUUUGCCUGCGAGGUUAAGAUGAAAAGUCGGAGCCGGAGCGAAAGCGAGUCUGAACAGGGCGCUUCAGUAGGUAGAUGUAGACCCGAAACCAAGUGACCUACCCAUGACCAGGUUGAAGGUGUGGUGAAACACACUGGAGGACCGAACCCAUGUAUGUUGAAAAAUGCUGGGAUGAGUUGUGGGUAGCGGUGAAAUUCCAAACGAACUUGGAGAUAGCUGGUUCUCUCCGAAAUAGCUUUAGGGUUAGCCUCGGAGGAUGGAUCAUGGAGGUAGAGCACUGUUUGAACUAGGGGCCCGUCAAGGGUUACUGAAUUCAGAUAAACUCCGAAUACCAUUGAUCUUACUCCGGGAGUCAGACAGUGAGCGAUAAGGUCCAUUGUCGAAAGGGGAACAGCCCAGAUCACCAGUUAAGGUCCCUAAAUUUAUGCUAAGUGGAAAAGGAUGUGGCGUUGCACAGACAACUAGGAUGUUGGCUCAGAAGCAGCCACCAUUUAAAGAGUGCGUAAUAGCUCACUAGUCGAGUGGCACUGCGCCGAAAAUAUACCGGGGCUAAGCAUAAUACCGAAACUGUGGGUGCACCCGUCAGGGUGCGCGGUAGGAGAGCGUUCUAAGGGCGUUGAAGGUCGAUCGUGAGGACGGCUGGAGCGCUUAGAAGUGAGAAUGCCGGCAUGAGUAGCGAAAGAUCAGUGAGAAUCUGAUCCACCGUAUGACUAAGGUUUCCUGGGGAAGGCUCGUCCUCCCAGGGUUAGUCGGGAUCUAAGGCGAGGCCGCAAGGCGUAGUCGAUGACAAGCAGGUUGAGAUUCCUGCACUAGUUUAUUUUGUUUAAGCGAUGGAGGGACGCAGGAGGCUAAGGAAAGCGCACGGCUGGAAAAGUGCGUCCAAGCAGUAAGUCCGGUAGCGAGUGAAAUGCUUGCCGCCUUAAGGACAAGCUGUGAUGGGGAGCGAAAUUAAAGUAGCGAAGUUCCUGAUGUCACACUGCCAAGAAAAGCUUCUAGUGAGAAAUAAACUACCCGUACCGCAAACCGACACAGGUAGUCGAGGAGAGUAUCCUCAGGUGAGCGAGCGAACUCUCGUUAAGGAACUCGGCAAAAUGACCCCGUAACUUCGGAAGAAGGGGUGCUGACCGCAAGGUCAGCCGCAGUGAAUAGGCCCAAACAACUGUUUAUCAAAAACACAGGUCUCUGCUAAAUCGUAAGAUGAUGUAUAGGGGCUGACGCCUGCCCGGUGCUGGAAGGUUAAGAGGAUGAGUUAGCGCAAGCGAAGCCCAGAAUUGAAGCCCCAGUAAACGGCGGCCGUAACUAUAACGGUCCUAAGGUAGCGAAAUUCCUUGUCGGGUAAGUUCCGACCCGCACGAAAGGCGUAAUGAUUUGGGCACUGUCUCAACGAGAGACUCGGUGAAAUUAUAGUACCCGUGAAGAUGCGGGUUACCCGCGACAGGACGGAAAGACCCCAUGGAGCUUUACUGUAGCUUGAUAUUGAGUGUUGGUACCGCUUGUACAGGAUAGGUAGGAGCCGUAGAGAUCGGAACGCUAGUUUCGAUGGAGGCAUUGGUGGGAUACUACCCUAGCUGUAUGAACACUCUAACCCGCGCCACU
RNAcentral lists this ribosomal RNA (1860 nucleotides) under Lacticaseibacillus rhamnosus. RNAcentral's name for it is "partial 23S ribosomal RNA". It matches the Rfam family "Bacterial large subunit ribosomal RNA", at positions 366 to 2236 of the family's 2925-position model. The record is from RNAcentral. Lineage: Bacteria; Bacillati; Bacillota; Bacilli; Lactobacillales; Lactobacillaceae.